CAGCCGCCGCGGUAAAACGGAGGGAGCUAGCGUUGUUCGGAAUUACUGGGCGUAAAGCGCACGUAGGCGGCUUUGUAAGUUAGAGGUGAAAGCCUGGAGCUCAACUCCAGAAUUGCCUUUAAGACUGCAUCGCUUGAAUCCGGGAGAGGUGAGUGGAAUUCCGAGUGUAGAGGUGAAAUUCGUAGAUAUUCGGAAGAACACCAGUGGCGAAGGCGGCUCACUGGACCGGCAUUGACGCUGAGGUGCGAAAGCGUGGGGAGCAAACAGGAUUAGAUACCCCUGUAGUCCCUGUCUCUUAUAC
This 301-nucleotide ribosomal RNA is filed under the name uncultured bacterium. RNAcentral describes it as "partial 16S ribosomal RNA". It matches the Rfam family "Bacterial small subunit ribosomal RNA", at positions 509 to 807 of the family's 1533-position model. The record is from RNAcentral.